RNAcentral lists this ribosomal RNA (457 nucleotides) under uncultured bacterium. RNAcentral describes it as "bacterial SSU rRNA". It matches the Rfam family "Bacterial small subunit ribosomal RNA", at positions 340 to 789 of the family's 1533-position model. The record is from RNAcentral.
UACGGAAGGCAGCAGUGGGGAAUAUUGCACAAUGGGCGCAAGCCUGAUGCAGCCAUGCCGCGUGUAUGAAAAAGGCCUUCGGGUUGUAAAGUACUUUCAGUCGUGAGGAAGGUGUUAAGGUUAAUAACCUUAGCAAUUGACGUUAGCGACAGAAGAAGCACCGGCUAACUCCGUGCCAGCAGCCGCGGUAAUACGGAGGGUGCGAGCGUUAAUCGGAAUUACUGGGCGUAAAGGGCACGCAGGCGGUUAAUUAAGUUGGAUGUGAAUCCCCGGGCUUAACCUGGGAAUGGCAUUCAAGACUGGUUAGCUAGAGUCUUGUAGAGGGGGUUAGAAUUCCAUGUGUAGCGGUGAAAUGCGUAGAGAUGUGGAGGAAUACCGGUGGCGAAGGCGGCCCCUGGACAAAGACUGACGCUCAUGUGCGAAAGCGUGGGGAGCAAACGAGGGAUUAGAUACCCGU